RNAcentral lists this ribosomal RNA (446 nucleotides) under uncultured bacterium. RNAcentral's name for it is "bacterial SSU rRNA". It matches the Rfam family "Bacterial small subunit ribosomal RNA", at positions 330 to 792 of the family's 1533-position model. The record is from RNAcentral.
GCCAGACUCCUACGGGAGGCAGCAGUGGGGGAUAUUGCACAAUGGGGGAAACCCUGAUGCAGCGACGCCGCGUGUGGGAAGACGGUCUUCUGGAUUGUAAACCACUGUCCCCAGGGACGAAAAUGACGGUACCUGGGGAGGAAGCUCCGGCUAACUACGUGCCAGCAGCCGCGGUAAUACGUAGGGGGCAAGCGUUAUCCGGAUUUACUGGGUGUAAAGGGAGCGUAGACGGCAGUGCAAGUCUGGAGUGAAAGGCGGGGGCUCAACCCCCGGACUGCUCUGGAAACUGUACGGCUGGAGUGCAGGAGAGGCAGGUGGAAUUCCUAGUGUAGCGGUGAAAUGCGUAGAUAUUAGGAGGAACACCGGUGGCGAAGGCGGCCUGCCGGACUGUGACUGACGUUGAGGCCCGAAGGCGUGGGGAGCAAACAGGAUUAGAUACCCCUGUA